This 818-nucleotide ribosomal RNA is filed under the name uncultured bacterium. Its description in RNAcentral is "bacterial SSU rRNA". It matches the Rfam family "Bacterial small subunit ribosomal RNA", at positions 66 to 894 of the family's 1533-position model. The record is from RNAcentral.
ACGGACUCAUAUUGAAACCUAGUGAUUUAUGAGUUAGUGGCGGACGGGUGAGUAACGCGUGGAAAACCUGCCGUAUACCGGGGGAUAACACUUAGAAAUAGGUGCUAAUACCGCAUAAGCGCACAGCUUCGCAUGAAGCAGUGUGAAAAACUCCGGUGGUAUACGAUGGUUCCGCGUCUGAUUAGCUAGUUGGCGGGGUAACGGCCCACCAAGGCAGCGAUCAGUAGCCGGCCUGAGAGGGUGAACGGCCACAUUGGGACUGAGACACGGCCCAAACUCCUACGGGAGGCAGCAGUGGGGAAUAUUGCACAAUGGGGGAAACCCUGAUGCAGCGACGCCGCGUGAGUGAAGAAGUAUUUCGGUACGUAAAGCUCUAUCAGCAGGGAAGAAAAUGACGGUACCUGACUAAGAAGCCCCGGCUAACUACGUGCCAGCAGCCGCGGUAAUACGUAGGGGGCAAGCGUUAUCCGGAUUUACUGGGUGUAAAGGGAGCGUAGACGGCAGCGCAAGUCUGGAGUGAAAUGCCGGGGCUCAACCCCGGAACUGCUUUGGAAACUGUGCAGCUUGAGUGCGGGAGAGGUAAGUGGAAUUCCUAGUGUAGCGGUGAAAUGCGUAGAUAUUAGGAGGAACACCAGUGGCGAAGGCGGCUUGCUGGACCGUAACUGACGUUGAGGCUCGAAAGCGUGGGGAGCAAACAGGAUUAGAUACCCUGGUAGUCCACGCCGUANACGAUGAUUACUAGGUGUCGGNGGACCAAGGUCCUCCGGUGCCGGCGCNAACGCAUUAAGUAAUCCACCUNGGGAGUACGUUCGCAAGAA